GGCCUUCCUUUUCCUCUAAAAGUGACCGAAGAGCUGCCUUUAUUGGACCUCUCUUCCUCACGAUGUCGAGCCCGUAAUAUCGCUCCGCCUGCUCGACGAACUCGUCAACCUGAGGAAAAUUUCCAAGUGCGCCUAUCAACUGAUCGGUGUAAACCAAGCCACAGAAAAAUUGGCGGAAUUACCUCCGGAAACGUAUCCUCUUCGACGUAUAAGCAGAGCAGUUUGGAGAGGUUCCUAACCUUACACACGGAAGCCACCAGGUGCAACACUGCGGUGCAGUCUUUGCCGCCGUUAAAGCUUAAGAACACCUGAUCCGCAGGGUACCUGGAAGCAAGGAAACCCGAGACCAUGGUUCCCUACGACACACCGAGGACGGCCACCGAGGAGUUUUUAGUGGAUGCAAGCCCCACACUUCCUCCACCCCC
RNAcentral lists this long non-coding RNA (425 nucleotides) under Orussus abietinus. RNAcentral's name for it is "uncharacterized LOC105695974, transcript variant X1". The record is from RNAcentral. Lineage: Eukaryota; Metazoa; Arthropoda; Insecta; Hymenoptera; Orussidae.